Molecule: ribosomal RNA, 293 nt
Filed under: uncultured bacterium
Lineage: Bacteria
Description: partial 16S ribosomal RNA
Rfam family: Archaeal small subunit ribosomal RNA
Source: RNAcentral
GUGCCAGCAGCCGCGGUAAUACCGGCAGCACGAGUGAUGGCCGAUCUUAUUGGGCCUAAAGCGUCCGUAGCUGGCCAGACAAGUCCGUUGGGAAAUCCACGUGCUUAACGCGUGGGCGUCCAGCGGAAACUGUCUGGCUUGGGGCCGGAAGACCCAAGGGGUACGUCCGGGAUAGGAGUGAAAUCCCGUAAUCCUGGACGGACCGCCGAUGGCGAAAGCACCUUGGGAGGACGGACCCGACAGUGAGGGACGAAAGCCAGGGUCUCGAACCGGAUUAGAUACCCUAGUAGUCC